RNAcentral lists this ribosomal RNA (378 nucleotides) under uncultured archaeon. Its description in RNAcentral is "bacterial SSU rRNA". It matches the Rfam family "Archaeal small subunit ribosomal RNA", at positions 691 to 1068 of the family's 1478-position model. The record is from RNAcentral.
CCGACGGUGAGAGGCGAAAGCUGGGGGAGCAAACCGGAUUAGAUACCCGGGUAGUCCCAGCUGUAAACGAUGCGCGUUGGGUGUAUCAGUGACCACGAGUCACUGAGGUGCCGAAGAGAAAUCGUGAAACGUGCCGCCUGGGAAGUACGGUCGCAAGGCUGAAACUUAAAGGAAUUGGCGGGGGAGCACCACAACAGGUGGAGCCUGCGGUUUAAUCGGACUCAACGCCGGAAAUCUCACCAGAUAAGACAGCUGAAUGAUAGUCGGGCUGAAGACUCUACUUGACUAGCUGAGAGGAGGUGCAUGGCCGUCGUCAGUUCGUACUGUGAAGCAUCCUGUUAAGUCAGGCAACGAGCGAGACCCACGCCAACAGUUGCU